RNAcentral lists this long non-coding RNA (397 nucleotides) under Homo sapiens (human). RNAcentral's name for it is "non-protein coding SMIM2-AS1:15". The record is from RNAcentral. Lineage: Eukaryota; Metazoa; Chordata; Mammalia; Primates; Hominidae.
ACUGUGUUUGGCAUCGCAGUUCCGACGGCAGCCGCCGUUUCGCGACCCACGGCGGACUUGCAUAAACACUUUCUAGUUGGAAUCUCACCCUGUGAGGUGGGCAAGGUAGUGAUAUUCCUGUUUGACGCCGACAGAAAUAAGAGAGAUUGACUCUCAGAACCAUGUGGCGGGAUUUUAAAGGAGGAUCUUAACAGUGGCUCGGACAGACCCGUGUUUUCUGCUCCUAGCAUUAACUACGUCGUUAAACCCUUCUGAAUUUAUUUCGUCUGUGAAAUGGGGAAAAGAUAGCCACCUUGCAUAACUGGUGAAGAAUUCGUAAACUGACAGCAGAAUCUAGUAAGAGGACUGGCCCGUGGUCGGCUCUUAAUGCUGAGUGCUUUGGACUAUCACGUCCCUC